This 301-nucleotide ribosomal RNA is filed under the name uncultured bacterium. RNAcentral's name for it is "partial 16S ribosomal RNA". It matches the Rfam family "Bacterial small subunit ribosomal RNA", at positions 509 to 809 of the family's 1533-position model. The record is from RNAcentral.
CAGUAGCCGCGGUAAGACAGAGGAUGCAAGCGUUAAUCGGAAUUACUGGGCGUAAAGCGCGCGUAGGUGGUUUGUUAAGUUGGAUGUGAAAUCCCCGGGCUCAACCUGGGAACUGCAUCCAAAACUGGCAAGCUAGAGUAUGGUAGAGGGUGGUGGAAUUUCCUGUGUAGCGGUGAAAUGCGUAGAUAUAGGAAGGAACACCAGUGGCGAAGGCGACCACCUGGACUGAUACUGACACUGAGGUGCGAAAGCGUGGGGAGCAAACAGGAUUAGAUACCCCUGUAGUCCCUGUCUCUUAUAA